GUGAGGAAUAUUGCACAAUGGGCGCAAGCCUGAUGCAGCAACGCCGCGUGGGCGAAGAAGGCCUUCGGGUUGUAAAGCCCUUUUCUGAGGGACGAGAGCGGACGGUACCUCAGGAAUAAGGUUCGGCUAACUACGUGCCAGCAGCCGCGGUAAUACGUAGGAACCGAGCGUUAUCCGGAUUCACUGGGCGUAAAGCGCGUGCAGGCGGUUUUGUAAGUUGGACGUGAAAGCUCCUGGCUUAACUAGGAGAGGUCGUUCGAGACUGCAAGGCUUGAGGUCGGGAGAGGGACGUGGAAUUCCCGGUGUAGUGGUGGAAUGCGUAGAGAUCGGGAGGAACACCAGUGGCGAAGGCGGCGUCCUGGCCCGCACCUGACGCUAAGACGCGAAAGCGUGGGGAGCGAACGGGAUUAGAAACCCGUGUAGUCC
RNAcentral lists this ribosomal RNA (426 nucleotides) under uncultured bacterium. Its description in RNAcentral is "bacterial SSU rRNA". It matches the Rfam family "Bacterial small subunit ribosomal RNA", at positions 354 to 796 of the family's 1533-position model. The record is from RNAcentral.